Molecule: long non-coding RNA, 900 nt
Filed under: Anser cygnoides (Swan goose)
Lineage: Eukaryota; Metazoa; Chordata; Aves; Anseriformes; Anatidae
Description: lncRNA (ENSACDG00005018100.1)
Source: RNAcentral
UUCUAUAGCGAGGCUUGCAGCCUGCUGCAGAGGAAUAAAGUCUGAAAGACUCGUGCUUCGUCACCGUCUUUCAGCUGUGUGCCAAAUGUGUGUAUCUAAGGGACCGGUGUAGCAUUUCCAUCACUUCCAUCCCUCCUGUAUCCACGCAGUUUUGGCUCCCGACACACGUCCCUCUGUGCGUUUUCCUGACUUUUUUUUUUACCUGGGAGUGCUUCACCACCACUGCUAGCAAUGGAAGAGAAGAAGGAGCCCAGAGCAGGCAAAGCCCACGCGGCACGAGCAGUGUGACGGCAUUUGUCAAGACGGCUCAUGUCAGAGGCGGCUUCUGGGCCCGACGCUUGCAGUUUUGAAGGGGAACUGGAUCCAGCUGCCCAGCUGUCCUCGGCAGAGCUGCCGAAGCAGAUUCAGUAGCUGAGAGCUUUGCUUUACCCGCCAAGAAAGGUGGCUGCAGCUGCCAGCUGUGGCUUACUCAGACCCGCUCGGACAUCAGAGCAACGCCGGCUCGGUCGCUGCCAGACGGGGUGUUGCAGUUAUCCUCUUCAGGAGUUGCUGGCCAUUGCCACGAACAAAGGAGCUUUGUUCAGUAUAACCUAUGAGGGAAAGUUAUGUUCUUACCUCAUGGUGACUAAGGCUUAGUAAUGAACAUGAAGUAAAUCCUGGUAAAGAAUCAAGCUUUGUUAAAGGCUGCCAUGAAACACUGUGGAUGCUACGAGUCAACAUGCCUGAAGGAGAGGCGAGAGAUCCAACAAAGAGAAACCCAUGGAAAGUGGCUGUGUACAAAGAUACACGCCCAGAUGUGCAGAAUAUGGCAGCACAGUCAGCGAGAGGGAAGCGUGUCUGGAAGGGAGAUAACUGCAGAAGAGCUCUAUAACAAACUCUCUCUGCCUUUCUGAUGAACCU